Molecule: ribosomal RNA, 253 nt
Filed under: uncultured bacterium
Lineage: Bacteria
Description: partial 16S ribosomal RNA
Rfam family: Bacterial small subunit ribosomal RNA
Source: RNAcentral
UACGGAGGGAGCUAGCGUUGUUCGGAAUUACUGGGCGUAAAGCGCACGUAGGCGGCUUUGUAAGUUAGAGGUGAAAGCCUGGAGCUCAACUCCAGAACUGCCUUUAAGACUGCAUCGCUUGAAUCCUGGAGAGGUGAGUGGAAUUCCGAGUGUAGAGGUGAAAUUCGUAGAUAUUCGGAAGAACACCAGUGGCGAAGGCGGCUCACUGGACAGGUAUUGACGCUGAGGUGCGAAAGCGUGGGGAGCAAACAGG